UUAGAUUGGUUACUAGGAAAAAAUUCUUCCCCAGAAGGGUUGCCAAGCACCAGAGGUGUUGAUGGAAUCACCAUGUCUGGAGGUGUAGGUGUGGCACUUGGGGACAUGGUUUAGUGGUGGGCUUGGCAGUGCUGGGUUAGUGGUUGAACUCAAUGACCUUAGAGGGCUUUUCCAACCUAAUCAAUGACAUGAUUCUAGGGUUCAAGAUCUUGGUGAAGCUUAAAAAAUUAGUAUCUUCUUUUCACAUUUCUGUUUUUGUAAGGAAAAGCUGUUUUGUGGUAACCUGAUUCAUGAGCUCAACGCACUUGGGAGCUGAACACACUUCAGUUUUGGAUGUGGUCUGAAAGAUUGCAGAAAGAAAUUCGAACCAGCCAAGGAAAAUGAGUUAAGAACAAUGGUUGUGACUCACAUGGAUUCUGGAAAAUGAUUUUGCUUGUUUAGCCUAGAGAAAUAAGAGCAGAUAACACCAUACAGUCACUUCAUGUACAGGACUGUGAGCAGAGGGAGAGGGGCUGUGCAGAUUUAGCCGUGGUGGAUCGAGCAAGGAAGGGGAGAUUAAAUUUAGCUGGCUAUUAGGAACAAUUUCCUGAGAGUGAAGACAAUUAGGCAGUGGAACUGUUUUGCCUAGUGAGGUAAUUACUGCACAAACACUAGAUGGACACAAGCCAAGAUUAGAUAAGUAUAGUGGAAAAUGUAGUACAAGGUCUCUCCUGAUGAGCCCAGAGGGGCUGGUUUUGCUGGCCGUGCGCCCGGCCAAGCAGUUGCAGCAAACUUUCCCUGAAGAGUUCUUGAGACAACAGGGGCUUUACUGGGACAGGGACUGCAGGACCAGAGCUGGCUUUCGUCAGGGCAGAGAGCAACAGAGAGCCAUGCAUCAACCCCACCUUCCAUCAAAGCCCACAAAAUGUCUGAGGAAGUUAAGAAAUGAAAGUUGAAGCAAAAAAAAAAAUUAAAUAGUAACUUUUGUAAGGGAGCAUGAGCCUUUGUUAGGCUUUGUAAAGCCCCUUUUUGUUUCAUAUGGGGCUUGGAUGUUUCUGCACUUGUUGGUUCAUGUUGGUUUUUUUCUCUUUUCACUGACACAUGUCGAGUGUUUGCUGAGUCUGGAGCUGGGACAGCUUCCAGAGAAAGGAGGCAGAUAUUUGGAAGAGUCACAGGGCUGAGAGCAGAACACUUAAAAUUCUGGACUCCUUUAAUAUCUCUCAGAAGGAGGAAGAAGCUGAGUCCUUUCCAAAAUAUAUUUUCCUCAGCUAUGACAAUAUAGGGUAACUCCUUCCCCUGUAAUCAGGGUGAGAAGAUGGGAGCAAGACCCUGUCCCACCGGCAGACGAGGCCUCAUCUCAGUACCAUGGCUGAAGUCUAGAAGCAAAGGCAACGUGGGGAAAGGAGCAAGCAAGUCAUUUUGGGUUGAAAGUAGAAGCACAGAGUGAUGCUCUUGGGGUACCCAUGGAAUCCAUCUGGAUACCACACCAGGGUAAUCUAACCCUGGGGCUAAACUCAUUCUCACAUGUCCCUAAGAAGUCCCAGGAGGGCAACAGGCACUCCUCCCCUUCAAUAGCUACUCUCUUACAUGAACAUUCCUGGAUCAUACCCUGAUAUAAUCCAGUUAGAGGUUAUCCCAGCUCAAAAACUGGCUCUGUAAGACAGAGGAGAGCAUGAAUGAAUAGGACAGCCACCCAUACACCCAAAAAAAUGGAAGCAGAGCAAUGCUCAGUGUCAGCCCUGGGUUUUAUCUGCCAGCUCUUUAUUUAAUGCAGUAAGUUGUCAGGUAUUUCACACUGGAAAUUAGGCCACUUAAUCAAAAUGUGUUGUCCAGAGAUGCUUAAUAACAGCAUAUUUGCCCACUAUAUUGGUAAUAACCCCCUUGAUUUAUUUACCUGUCUUAUUAAAUAGAUGUAACCUUUCUUUUAGGGGAGAGAGGCAGCUAUUGCCCACCACCAUUACUUUUCUGUUUAGGGAAAUUCCUCCUGAGUGGAAAAAGCCAGAGCUGAGCAAACGGUAUAAAGGAUGCUGAGUGGGCCAGAAGUCAGGGAACCCUGCAUCAUCGUGCCUUCAUCUCCUGUACAGUACCAUCCCAAGAUUUGCACAUGGGUAUUAUUCAACCCCUAGUUUGGAGCUGCAACUGGGCAACGUUCAGCUCAGACAAUGAAGAAGAACUCCUGUCAUUGCCUACGGUGCAAUCACACCAAAGUGCCUGGGAUGUCAAAUUGUUCCUCCAAGCAGAAUCGAGCACUAUUUAGGGCAGUUAGCACUAAGCAUCUAAUGUGCAGUGCUGCCCUGAGAAAGCAAUCCAGCUUCAUCUCUGCUGUCUCUUCUGCUCCUAAGUAAGGCCUCUUCAGACAUUUCAGGGAUAUUUUUACUGUGAUCACAAAUUCCUUUCCUGGCUAGUAGCCCCUUUUGACCUUCUUUAUGUGGAUGUUUCCCACUCCAGUGUGUUAGUCCCACAUGCUUCAGGGGCUUCAUUCAUUCAUUUUGUCUGUGCUGGCUUUUUGCUGAUGUGCAUCUCUUGAAACCGAUGAUGUUACUCCUCUUUAAAGUAUUCAAACAAGUAAGGUUUAUGUGACUCCUAUGAAGUAAAAUCAGGUUGAAAAGCCCAGGAUAACUGGAGCUCAGCUCAAAACCCCUCGAAAUCCACACUGAACCUCAUUUUCACGCCCUGGUACCUCCUUCCUGUGACUCUGCCACUCCCAGUGUGGGGUGCCCAGGAGAGGGGCUGCAUGAAAGGUGAAAGGUCCAAGGGACCUCUCCAGUCACCCCCUUUCCAUGCAUCCUUCAUUUCUCCCAUGCCCCAUCUCACCACACAGCUCAUCAUCCCACAAGGAAGAAAGGGACCUGCAGGACCUGAGAUUGUUCUUUAAUCAUUACCUUACUAACUUUUAUUUCACUCUAUGACACCCAUAAUUUAAGUCUAGACCUAAUAAACCCCUCUGGAACAUGGUGAUGCCACGGCCAGGCACAGUGAAGGUAAAAAUGGGAAGCAAAGUUCAUGAGUGCUUGAAACCAUUGCAAAAUGUCCUGAAAAUGCUUAUAUAAGAAAGUAAGAACUGCCUGUUCAUUGUGGCCAUCGUUCGUCACCAGUGUCUCAGCUCUUGCCAAUUUACAGCCCAGGGAGACCAGAUCAGGCGGGUUCAGGCAAUUCAUUAUGUGAACUUUACCUAAGCAAAUACAGGCUGGGAUGAAUAAUUAACAGGAAGCUGUAAUACUGAGCUGUCCUAGGAAAGGUGGGAAGCAGCAGAGAGAAUGAUGAGAGAAUGUCAGUCUUGUAAAAAAACAACAUUUUUUCUGACCUUCACUCUAAGCCUGGGCUAGACCUGUUCUGCUCUUUUCUGAUCCAAGCAAAAGCUCUCCUGCAAGGAUAUAAUAUGGGGAGAGACAGAAGGGGUGUUUUUUGAGAAGAGCAUUGCAGGACAUCCAGUGUGGUCAGCAUGUAGCCAGGUUUCCUCUGUUCAAAGAGGCACAAAAAAGAGAUGAAAAGAUUCUCAAAACUGAAUUGGGCACCCAAGUUCACAUUUACCAGCGCUGGUGGGGAUGAAUGCCUUCUUCAUUCCUCUAGAGAGCUUUUUCCCUGAGCUGAAGUUCCUGUUAAGGUACAGCCAGGAGGUACCUGCUGAAGUCAGCUCUGAAAGGCUGUUAACAUGAGAAAAAUGCUCUCUGCUUGAGCCAAAACCACCAAGCUGAAUAUUUUCCUAUUCUGUUCAUUGUGUCUUUGCUCAGGUAACUCAGAGCCAUGGUUGUUUCCCCAGCAGUAGGAAAGGAGUCUGUUUACCAAUUCAGAGCAGCCUGGGCAGACCUGGUGAGGUCCUUGCUAUGGUCUGGAGAGCCCCAAAACUUCUGCAGGUGUUCAUGACAGGAGACUGCUGUAGUUGAAGGAGAUACCUACCCACCCAGCAGAGCAGUUUAGCUCUAAAUACUGCUCAGAUGGACAGGACUUUGAGCAAUCUGAUCUACUGGAAUCAGUCUCCGGCAAUGGCAGGGGUUUCGGAACUAAAUGAUCAUGAAGCUCCCUUCCAACUCAGGCCAUUCUAUGAUUCUAUGAUUCUAUAGUACUAUGAUUCUCUGGUUCUAUGACACAAGAGCUCACAAAUUGACCUACUGUCACUCAAACCAUCCAAAGGUGAACAUGUUUCCCAUCUUUGGCUUCAAGGCCUGUGUCCCAGGACCUGAGAACAGGCAGGCUUUGACUUAUUAUCUGUAAAUUUCCUGACAGUGGACUUGAUCCCCUCAUCCAUGUCAUCAAUAAAAACUUUGAGCAGAACAGGCUCCAGCACAGAGCCCUGAGGGACACCCCUGGUGACUGGCCAGCAGCUGGAUGCAGCACUCUUCACCAGCACUCUCUGGGCCUGGCCAUCCAGCCAGUUCCUAACCCAACAAAGAGUGCCCUAUCCAAGUUGUGGGCUGCCAGCUUUUCCAGGAGUGUGCUGUGGGAGACAGUAUCAAAGGCCUUGCUGGAGUCUAAAUAGACACCAUCCACAGACUUUCCUGCAUCCAGUAGCCAGGUCACCUGGUUAUAGAGGGAGACCAGGCUGGUCAAACACGACCUACCCCUCCUAAACCCCUGCUGGCUGGGUCCGAUACCCUGGCCACCCUCUAAGUGCUGUGUGAUGACACCCAAUAUAAACUGUUCCAUUGCCUUACCUGGUACUCAGGUCAGGCUACCUGGCCUACCAGGAUCCUCCUUCCCACCCUUCUUGUGAAUGGGUGCCACAUUGGCCAGCUUCCAGUCAUCUGGAACCUCACCAGUGAGCCAGGACUGCUGGUAAAUGAUGGAGAGUGGCUUUGCAGGCUCAUCUGCCAGCUCCCUCAUCACCCUGGGAUAGAUCCCAUCUGGUCCCAUAGAUUAUGAACAUCCAAGCUGCUCAGCAGAUCUCUGACUGUCUCUUCCUGGAUAACAGGGGGACCAUUCUGCUCCCUAGUACAUCAACCAACCCAGGAGGACAGCUGUCCUGAGGACAACCUGUUUUUCUGUUGAAACUUGAUGCAAAGAAGGUGUUAAGUACCUCUGCCUUUUCCUCAUCUUUACUUACUAAAUUCCCUCCCACAUCUAAUAGAGAAUGGAGGUUGUCCUUGCCCUUGUUUUUGCCAUUAAUGUAUUUAUAAAUAUAUUUUUAUUGUCCUUACAGAAAUGGUCAGAGUUCUAACUGGGCAUUUUCCUCUCUAAUUUUUUUCCUACAUGACCUAGCAACUCCCUUAAACAUUUCCUGAUAUACCUGACCCUCCUUCCAAAGGUGAUACAUCCUCUUUUUCAUCCCUAGUUUCUUCAAAAGCUUCUUGCCCAUCCAGGCCAGUGGUUUUCUUCAACAGCUUGUCAUUCAGCACAUAGGGACAGUCUGUUCCCUGUUCCUGUGCCUUCAAGAUUUCUGUUUUGAAGCACACCCAUCCUUCCUGGACUCCUUUGUUUUUAAGGGCUGCUUCCCAAGGUAUUCUCCAAAUUAGUCUCUUGAAUAGGCCAAAGUCUGCCCUCUAGAAGUCCAAUAGGGAAAUUUUAUUCAUGCCCCUCCUUGUUUCACCAAAUAGUGAAAACUUUAUGAUUUCAUGUCUUGACAGUGAAAAGUAAAAAGCAAUCAAAAUACAGGAAGCAAGUGAGAACUCUAUACUUUCUUUGCAAUAUUUUGCCAAAGAGGCAUAUUUAACCUAUUAACCUCCUUACUUCAGACAGACACUAUGGGCUGGGAACACUACACCUGCUGUAGCAUUUGGUGGUGCAUGUUUUCAGCUCGGGUACCUGAGUCUGUUUCACCACCCAAAAAAGGUAGCUUUCAUUUUGGAAUGGAAGGGACCAGCCAUGACUCUUCUCAGGUUUAAGAACCUAAAAUUUGCAAAUAUUUUGUAUAAAGAAAAGCAAGAUCCUGGUGUAAGAAUUUUCCAGUGUUUGCCUUAACUCUUCUACACAUGUGGAGCUAUGCAGAUUUGCGAAGGGUUUUGAUCUUGUUUUACUCAGAGUCUGGGUGAUGCAGCCAGAAGUAAUAAAAUCACAACUGCUUGUGUUCUCCCUCUUUUCCUCCCUCCCUGCCUUCAUCCAUCUACCUCUGUAUCUACCUAUCACUUGUGCUGUUCUGGCAGUAACUGAAUCCUUUCCCAUAAAUUCAGUGGCAAUGGAGAGGUUCCCACUGAGUGUCCUGGAGUUAUUGGAAGGAUUGAUAGGAUUAAAAUACCUCCUAUGGUCAUGUUCAAAGCUUUUUCCUUAAUUGUGUUCAUUUCUUGAUAGGUUUUUUCCCCUAAAAUCAGCCUACAGGGUACAUUCAUGUUUUACAGAUAAUAUGUAUCCAUUCUUCAAUUCAAACAGAUUCCAGGAGGAUUUUUUCUAAGAUCCUGAAGAAAACUCCUUGCUGCUGGUCAGAUGAAACUGUGUCAGGUGGGAAGUCCCCCCACUCUUGUGUUUGAGGACCUCCCACUUCUCUCUUUGAUCCUGUUCCCUGGGGAAUUUCCACUGCUCUUCCUAUUUCCUUCUGGUCUGAAUUUCUCAAAUUUCAGUUUGGCAAACUAAACCCCUUAACAAGAGAAAGAGCUUGCUGGGAUUGGUAUCAGUUUACACAGAGGUGCCAGGGUGAAAAACACACAAUGUUUGAGUAUUGGAAACAACAAGGACUGGUGUAUAAGAGCGGUCAGGGCAGGGUCUAGUAAGGAAAGAUGAACAUCAGUUUGUUUUUCUUUUUCUUACUGAGAAAUAGCACUUGAAGGAAUCAGUGAGAGGUGAUGUGACCUAAAAUGUGUGUGCAGAGAGUUGCAUCAAACUUGGAAAUAGAGCUGAGGAGGGUCUGAGAUGCCCAAGUCUGGUAGAGAUGGGCUCUGGCCAGGCUCUGUUGGUAACCAGCGCUUGGCUCUGGAGCUUUGUUUUAGAGUGGGAUCCAGUUCUCCCUUGGGGCUGCAAGAAGGGAUGGGAACCAACAGAGAGAGACCUUCUGACAGCUGCCCUCCUAUUCCAGCUAAUUUCUCCUCUAUUGCCAUUCCUUUGGCACUGCAGCUCUUCGCAUUUCAGAUCUUACUAAAUAUGAGCAAAGGGGCGAGAAGGCAGAGGAGAACAAUGGUGGGAAUGGUGUCAGUAUUGGGAUGCAGUAGGGAGGGAAGAAUCUUGAACAGCUAAAGCUCUUUUUUUCUUCUAGUUCUAGACUUGACAGGACCAUCCAGAUUGAAUCAGAUAUAACCCCUCUCCACCUGGGCUUUUCUUCAUGCAUAUCCCCAAAACGCCAAAAAACACAACUGACUUGCCUCCAGGGUGCCAGGGAUUUGGUACGGAUAUGCUUUGUUUCUGCUUUUUUCUCUGGGAUGGGAUGAAGGAAAUUCAGUAAGAACAUGAAGCACAGGAGGAGGGUAAAAAGAGAAGAGAACAGUGAGUGUUAGAGGAGAUGCAAGGAAUUCUUUGCAAACGGCAGAAUUUUGUGGUUGUAAAAGCAAAAUAUCUUUGUUUGCAUUGGCCGUGAAAACAAAAUAUGUGUGACUGUUUGUCAUUUAUUCUUGAUUUGGUGUCCAGUGGCAGCUCUUGCUCUAUGAAAAGCUGGGAGCAGUGUUCCUUCUCCUGGUAUGUGAAGAUGAACGUGGUUGAGGGCCAGGCCAAGGAAUUUGGUUCCUCUGCCAGGCCCUGAAGCAGACUGGCUGCCUCAGACACACAGCACGACAGCGAACAUCCCUGUGCCUCAAAAUGUUUAACCAUCCAGGGCCCACUGGCUCCAAAGGGAGUGAGAAGAGGGAAGGGGCAGUUGCCUCUGCCAGUUUGGAAAAUAUUGAGUAGUGGAUUAAAGAAAGCAUUUUCCUGAGUGAAUUGGAUCCUUUUAUGAUGAGGAUUCAUAGCACCUUUGGACUAAAAUCUUAACCAGCAUAUAUUCUGACUAUGGGCAUCCUUAAAUUUCAAAGACACUCUCUCCACUCUCUUUACAAAGGUCAGAGCCUAGGCUCAAACACAUCAGAUACCUAAUUCUCUUAGGCUCACCCAUCAUUUCCUAGACCCCAGCCAGGCUUUCCUGGCCACAUCCUAGUACUCCAAAGCUGAAGGGUUCUGACAGGGAUUCUGAUAGAUGUUGUAUUGUACUUUAUAUAUGUAUUGAUGUGUCAUCUUUUGUCAUGUUAACGCUUGCAAAGGUCUUGAAACCCUUAGAAAUAAAAAGGAUUUGGGGAUCAGGCAAUCGCACACAUUGCACAUAUCAGUUUGCUGAGCAGGGAAUGGAGUUAAGCACACAUUUAAGGGAAUUCUAGGCUUUAAUGCAUUCUGAAGGCACCCCAGGUUGCUGUUUUUAUGCUGUUCUGCUAUAACAGCAUCUGCUGGGAUAUUGUUCUCUGAAUUAGUCAGGCCAAAAUUUAGGAGAUCCCCAUAUCUGCAGAGUACUACAGGAAGGUAUUUUUGUUUUGGUUUCUGUUUCAAUUCCUCAGUCUUUAUACAAGUUGUUAAAAAGGGCUGCAAGCUUCAGGCUGCCUACCUUCCUCUCUUGCUAAAGGCAUCACUGUUAUUUCAGGUAAAGCUUUCCUUCUAUACUCUCUUGUUUUAUUCCACGUCAGCAGCUGGGUUAAUUUUGAAGGGUUUCAUCUGCAUGGGGGUGAAAGCACACAGCCAUGCAGCCAGGUUGAUUUCUGAGCAUGGCAAGACAAAGCAAUCUCUUCUUUCUGUAUGCCUUCCUUGGAUUUAUUGUCAGCAUCAGCCAGGCUCCUGGUUCCAGCUGCAAGUUUUUAUUAUUCCAAGAAUAAUAAUUUGGCUAACAGAGACCUCUCCCUGCAGACAGAGGGAAGGAUCAACCCAAAUUGAUAUUGCAGAUGGAAGUUUGCUUGGAACGGUGAACAAUACCAAAGAGAAAGCAAAGGUGUUUGAACAGAAGCACCUACCUUUUUUCCCCUGGUUGGCCUUUCUCCUCUCUCUCUCUCUCCUCCCUCCACAACUUGAAAAAAAAAAAAAAAAAAGAAACAUAAGCGCAGAACUAUGUAACUGGAAGAAAAGCAGCAUAAAGACGGGCUAUCUGGUUUCCUAAAGUGCAGAUUCAAAUCCAGUGGCUUAUAGCAUAUUUGGUUCAGGUCCUUUGGAAGAAAUGCAGAAGACACACAAAGGAGGCACCUACAGCAUCCAUUUACCCACCCACUCAUGGGUUGUUGUGAGUCCUGAAAUGGGUAAUUGGCUCCUCACUUAUUGAGCUGAAGCACCAGAAAAGGGGGCCUGAAAAUGGCCCUUUUGCCCCAAUUUCUCACCCAUCAGAUGGGAUUCAUCACCAGCAGAGAAGUGGGCACAGGAGAUAGGAAGGGCACCAGUUACUUUGGCAGUCAGGCAAUAUGGGAGAUGAGAACUGUCCUGGAAAUGGAAACAUUACUUGGUCUUGUUUGUCUUUCUCUAAAUACUUGGUUUUACUGAUGAGAUUAAUUCCCUUUGGGUGAGGUUAGCAUUAAUCCAGAGCAGCAGUGCUUCCCUCCACAGGGCACAGCCAGACUUCUGCCAUUGUCCUGGGGACAGAAUAUAUGUCCAAAGCACAAUGCCUGUCAGCCCCAAACAGGCUGCUCUGCUAACAAAACCACCCAAAACUUCACUUUUCCAAGAGCAGUCUAUAGUGUUGAAGUCCCCAGUGCUCAGUCCUGGUUAUGGUUGCUAAUAUGAACUCUACACUUCACCCACAGGCCCCAGUUUUCUCCACAAGGCAUCCAGAUGCAUUCCUAAGCUCCACACACUCCACUUUUCCACAGUCACAACUGCACGACUCAGUGCUGCGCAGCAGUUUUCCUUUCCAAAGCGUUUUGCAAACAUGAGCUGAGUAAGGCUUGCCAGCAGACCCAUUCCUUGCCAAUUGUAUUGAAGGGGCCUCUGAGGAGAGCUGCUGCAGCUCAGCCCAGAGGUGCAAUUUCAUUUUCAAUUGUAUAAGCAUUUGGGGGGAGGUUGAGAGGCGAAGAAAGUUGUUGUUCAGUUGCCACUGAGAUUUUAUGCUUAUUUCAUUGCUGUGUCUACUUACUCAGGAAUGCAACAACAUCCUAGUCACUGAUAACAAGCUCACCUCAGAACAUGAGACUUCUGAGCCUUGAGGGAAGACAAUAAAGGUGAUAGUUAAUGUCUCUUCAGAGUUAAAAUCUGUGACUACAAGAAAGAUGCUGCUUCUAAAACUAUAUGCCAUUUUCCUUGUCCCACUUCUAUCCCUAUGGCUGGAGGGAAUUAGAGCAGAGGCUGCAGUUUGCAGAUCAAAAACUCUGGCUGCAAUAAAUUUAAACAAAAAGCAA
Passer domesticus (house sparrow) is the source of this 10172-nucleotide long non-coding RNA. RefSeq lists it as uncharacterized. The record is from RefSeq and is a predicted model, not a curated record. The transcript has 2 exons. NCBI's taxonomy places the organism in Eukaryota, Metazoa, Chordata, Aves, Passeriformes, Passeridae.